GAUGAACGCUGGCGGCAGGCCUAACACAUGCAAGUCGGACGGUAGCACAGAGAGCUUGCUCUUGGGUGACGAGUGGCGGACGGGUGAGUAAUGUCUGGGGAUCUGCCCGAUAGAGGGGGAUAACCACUGGAAACGGUGGCUAGUACCGCAUAACGUCGCAAGACCAAAGAGGGGGACCUUCGGGCCUCUCACUAUCGGAUGAACCCAGAUGGGAUUAGCUAGUAGGCGGGGUAAGGGCCCACCUAGGCGACGAUCCCGAGCUGGUCUGAGAGGAUGACCAGCCACACUGGAACUGAGAAACGGUCCAGACUCCUACGGGAGGCAGCAGUGGGGAAUAUUGCACAAUGGGCGCAAGCCUGAUGCAGCCAUGCCGCGUGUAUGAAGAAGGCCUUCGGGUUGUAAAGUACUUUCAGCGGGGAGGAAGGCGGUGAGGUUAAUAACCUUGCCGAUUGACGUUACCCGCAGAAGAAGCACCGGCUAACUCCGUGCCAGCCGCCGCAGUAA
Molecule: ribosomal RNA, 504 nt
Filed under: uncultured bacterium
Lineage: Bacteria
Description: partial 16S ribosomal RNA
Rfam family: Bacterial small subunit ribosomal RNA
Source: RNAcentral